AACGAACGCUGGCGGCGCGCCUAAUACAUGCAAGUCGAACGAGAAGGUGUAGCAAUACACUUGUACAGUGGCGAACGGGUGAGGAAUGCAUGGGCAACCUACCCUCGAGUGGGGAACAACCAGCCGAAAGGUUGGCUAAUACCGCGUACGCUUCCGGGUCUCCGGAUCCGGAAGGAAAGUCACACCGUGGGUGUGACGCUCAAGGAUGGGCUCAUGUCCUAUCAGCUUGNGGUGAGGUAACGGCUCACCAAGGCAACGACGGGUAGCUGGUCUGAGAGGACGAUCAGCCACACUGGGCACUGCGACACGGGCCAGACUCCUACGGGAGGCAGCAGUAAGGAAUAUUGCGCAAUGGGCGAAAGCCUGACGCAGCGACGCCGCGUGGGGGAUGAAGGUCUUCGGAUUGUAAACCCCUUUUA
Molecule: ribosomal RNA, 419 nt
Filed under: uncultured bacterium
Lineage: Bacteria
Description: bacterial SSU rRNA
Rfam family: Bacterial small subunit ribosomal RNA
Source: RNAcentral